CCUACGGGUGGCUGCAGUGGGGGAUAUUGGACAAUGGGGGGAACCCUGAUCCAGCGACGCCGCGUGAGUGAAGAAGUCUUUCCGUAUGUAAAGCUCUGUCAGCAGGGAAGCAAGACAUGACGGUACCUCACCACUAAGCCCCGGCUAACUACGUGCCAGCAGCCGCUGUAAUACAUAGGGGGCAAGCGUUAUCCGGAAUUACUGGGUGUAAAGGGAGCGUAGACGGUUAAGUAAGUCUGGAGUGAAAGGCCGGGGCCCAACCCCGGGACUGCUCUGGAACCUAUUGAACUGGAGUGCAGGAGAGGUAAGCGGAAUGCCUAGUGUAGCGGUGAAAUGCGUAGAUAUUAGGAGGAACACCAGUGGCGAAGGCGGCUUACUGGACUGUAACUGACGUUGAGGCUCGAAAGCGUGGGGAUCGAACAGGAUUAGAUUCCCUAGUAGUC
RNAcentral lists this ribosomal RNA (443 nucleotides) under uncultured bacterium. RNAcentral's name for it is "partial 16S ribosomal RNA". It matches the Rfam family "Bacterial small subunit ribosomal RNA", at positions 338 to 795 of the family's 1533-position model. The record is from RNAcentral.